This is a non-coding RNA of Callithrix jacchus (white-tufted-ear marmoset), 1077 nucleotides long. The record is from RefSeq and is a predicted model, not a curated record. Lineage: Eukaryota; Metazoa; Chordata; Mammalia; Primates; Cebidae.
CUUUCAGAGGUGGGCUCUUCCGCAGCGCGGGCCUGAGGAGUCGGUGCUCGCGGCGAGUGGCGCCCCCUGACUCUCCACAGAGUGCAACAGUCUGUGUUCCUGGCAGUGCCCUUCAGUACCUGGCCUGGGGUUUCCUCAGAGACAGUGUCCCUGACUUGGGGAUGGACCCCUGUCCCCUCUCACAGCCUCUAAGGUCAGGGAUCUGGCAGAGCCUCCGUUGCCAGGGAGCCGAGGCCGGCCUUUCCUGAGCCCUCGUUUCCAGAUUUGCUCUGGUAGGGACUUCUCCCCACAGGCCGAAGCCUGCAGAAGGAACUGCCUGCGUGCCACUCAAAAUCAGUCCGGCUCUGGGGUUAAGACGUAGUGAUUUUGGUUCUCAUAUACACGUUGUAAAACCACAGAGAAAUUGUGGUUUGAAAUGACUUCCUUCAUACUUCCUCGUAGCAGGACUCAACCUGAUGAUCAGACACUUCGGUGAGAUGUCUGCCUCACCAUGGAGCCCACUGGAGGCGUGAGGGUCCAGUUCUUCCAGAGCAAAAGCUGUAUCUGUUUCACGAAGCCCAUGCUAAUGACCACACGAAGACCAGAUUGAUCAGAGCUGAGGGCCCCCAGACAGCAAAGGACGUAAAUGCUGCUAAGAGUUUCCCGGCUCCAGCCGCUGUGUCCUUCUCCUGACUCUAGACCCCGAGACCUCGAUAGUGAUGGAGGGAGAACCACAGAGAAGAAUGGAUGCUGACUUCAUGGAGUUCAUGGUCUGGUUGUAAACAUGGGACUUGAACUCAAAUCACUCAAGGAGUAUGAUGAGGGCCCACAGGCUAUGCAUGGUGGGCUUCCAAGGAGAGAGAGAUGGUUUCUGCUUACGAUGGCAAAAGGACUCCUUGGAGGUGUGGCAUUUAAGACAAGCUUGCAGAAUUACAAAAUAACAUUUUAUAGUAAGUUUAUGAUAUCUAAACUGCUUUUGCAUGUUAUUUCAUUUCAGCCUCACUACAAUUUUGUGAGGUCCAUAUUUGCUCGGUUUUACAGAUGAGGAACAUGAAGCCUAGUGAGAUUAAGUACUUUGCUCAGGGUCCCAUGUGACAA